This 253-nucleotide ribosomal RNA is filed under the name uncultured bacterium. RNAcentral describes it as "partial 16S ribosomal RNA". It matches the Rfam family "Bacterial small subunit ribosomal RNA", at positions 524 to 776 of the family's 1533-position model. The record is from RNAcentral.
UACAGAGGAUGCAAGCGUUAUCCGGAAUCACUGGGCAUAAAGCGUCUGUAGGUUGUAUAGCAAGUCUGCUGUUAAAGACUAGGGCCUAACCCUAGGAAAGCAGUGGAAACUACUAUACUUGAGUGUGGUAGAGGUAGAGGGAAUUCCUGGUGUAGCGGUGAAAUGCGUAGAUAUUAGGAAGAACACCCAUGGCGAAAGCACUCUACUAGGCCAUAACUGACACUGAGAGACGACAGCUAGGGGAGCAAAUGGG